AAUAUGAUUUGUUAGGCAGAGGCUCCUAUACAAACACAGGCUACUGCCCAGGAACGUCCAGAGACGCCAAUGGGUAUAACAGGAAUUUCCGAUAUAAGGAAUUUUUUAACGUAGCUAACAGGUAUGUUUACGUUGUAUAGUGCUGAAACUCCACGAAAAAGUCAUGAA
This 168-nucleotide small RNA is filed under the name Atopostipes suicloacalis. RNAcentral describes it as "Magnesium sequence". It matches the Rfam family "M-box riboswitch aptamer (ykoK leader)". Rfam says of the family: M-box riboswitch, also know as ykoK leader is described as a metaloregulatory RNA that sense divalent metals and function as a genetic control element of genes related to divalent metal transport in bacteria. It was first reported upstream of the B.subtilis ykoK gene and genes with related functions in other bacteria. RNAcentral also lists the same sequence under 1 other name. Lineage: Bacteria; Bacillati; Bacillota; Bacilli; Lactobacillales; Carnobacteriaceae. The record is from RNAcentral.